Molecule: ribosomal RNA, 793 nt
Filed under: uncultured bacterium
Lineage: Bacteria
Description: bacterial SSU rRNA
Rfam family: Bacterial small subunit ribosomal RNA
Source: RNAcentral
AGAGUUUGAUCAUGGCUCAGAUUGAACGCUGGCGGCAGGCCUAACACAUGCAAGUCGAGCGGAUGAGUGGAGCUUGCUCCAUGAUUCAGCGGCGGACGGGUGAGUAAUGCCUAGGAAUCUGCCUGGUAGUGGGGGACAACGUUUCGAAAGGAACGCUAAUACCGCAUACGUCCUACGGGAGAAAGCAGGGGACCUUCAGGCCUUGCGCUAUCAGAUGAGCCUAGGUCGGAUUAGCUAGUUGGUGAGGUAAAGGCUCACCAAGGCGACGAUCCGUAACUGGUCUGAGAGGAUGAUCAGUCACACUGGAACUGAGACACGGUCCAGACUCCUACGGGAGGCAGCAGUGGGGAAUAUUGGACAAUGGGCGAAAGCCUGAUCCAGCCAUGCCGCGUGUGUGAAGAAGGUCUUCGGAUUGUAAAGCACUUUAAGUUGGGAGGAAGGGCAGUAAGCUAAUACCUUGCUGUUUUGACGUUACCGACAGAAUAAGCACCGGCUAACUUCGUGCCAGCAGCCGCGGUAAUACGAAGGGUGCAAGCGUUAAUCGGAAUUACUGGGCGUAAAGCGCGCGUAGGUGGUUCAGCAAGUCGGAUGUGAAAGCCCCGGGCUCAACCUGGGAACUGCAUCCAAAACUACUGAGCUAGAGUACGGUAGAGGGUGGUGGAAUUUCCUGUGUAGCGGUGAAAUGCGUAGAUAUAGGAAGGAACACCAGUGGCGAAGGCGGCCACCUGGAAUGAUACUGACACUCAGGUGCGAAAGCGUGGGGAGCAAACAGGAUUAGAUACCCCGGUAGUCC